Molecule: ribosomal RNA, 588 nt
Filed under: uncultured bacterium
Lineage: Bacteria
Description: bacterial SSU rRNA
Rfam family: Bacterial small subunit ribosomal RNA
Source: RNAcentral
CCUACGGGAGGCAGCAGUGGGGAAUUUUGCGCAAUGGACGAAAGUCUGACGCAGCAACGCCGCGUGGGUGAUGAAGGCCCUUGGGUCGUAAAACCCUGUCGAGAGGGAAGAAAUCCAUGAAAGCCAAUACCUUUCAUGGUUGACUGUACCUCUGGAGGAAGCCCCGGCUAACUCCGUGCCAGCAGCCGCGGUAAUACGGAGGGGGCGAGCGUUGUUCGGAAUCAUUGGGCGUAAAGGGCGCGUAGGCGGCAUCACAAGUCAGAUGUGAAAGCCCCUGGCUUAACCAGGGAAUUGCAUCUGAAACUGUGGAGCUUGAAUCCGGGAUGGGAGAGUGGAAUUCCCAGUGUAGCGGUGAAAUGCGUAGAUAUUGGGAGGAACACCGGUGGCGAAGGCGGCUCUCUGGACCGGUAUUGACGCUGAGGCGCGAAAGCUAGGGGAGCAAACGGGAUUAGAUACCCCGGUAGUCCUAGCUGUAAACGUUGGGCACUUGGUGUGGCGGGUAUCGACCCCUGCCGUGCCGAAGCUAACGCAUUAAGUGCCCCGCCUGGGGAGUACGGUCGCAAGGCUGAAACUCAAAUGAAUUGACGG